GAAAGCAUGCCGGGAGGCUCUGCGUGCUGCUCUGUAUGUGUGUCUGUCUUUUGCCUUUGACGAGGGGGAUGACACUGAAGUCUAGAGCAGAGCCGAAGUCAUAAGGGGGUUGGGAGGUCCUCGUCUGCACGCCCCCCCACGCCCCGCAUUCUGCUGGGGCUGGAGCAGGAAGCGAGAGCAGCAGCGGCGGCGCGGCUCUUCGCUUUGCUAACAUUGAGAGACAGCGCCUGUCAUGCUUGUGAGCAGGAGCCGCCGCCGCCUGCUCCCUGCCGCCGCCUCCUCCUCCUCCUCCUUCUGUUGCUGUGCUGCAUUGGGAAUAAUCGUUCUGCCAUUGACUGGAGGGACGGAAGCUCUUGCACGGGGAAUGCCUAGCCAAGCUCUGAGAAGAGGCUUUACUGCUUCUAUUGCCUGAGGAAAAAAACAAGAAGGGGGGGGGGAAUUGAGGACGGGGAGGGAAGGAAGACACCCCCUCUUGCAAGAAUGAGCUGAGCGAUCCUGCUUGCUUGCUUCUCUCUCUCUCUCUCUCUCUCUUUUACACCCGCGAGUGCGCUCGCGCGUUCCUCUCCUUUUCGACAAGUAACUGGAUGGCUCAAGGACUGAGCGCAGGCGGAGGGCAAACUUGGAAAGGCCGCCGGUGCCUUCGGGAACUGCCGCUGCCUUCCGGGACCCCAUUCCCGCCCGCGCCGCUGUUGGAGGAGGCAUCUUUUCACAGGGCGGGUGAAGAAGGCUGCCUGCCAAGACGAUUGUUGUGGGUGCCUGCCCGGGGGUGUUUCUGAACGCGGUCCUAAUGCCUGUCACUUCUCGGGACGCGGUACUGGUGGCAGCGGCUGGAGGCAAGAGCCUCCCGAGCCCUGUGCAGCCUUGCUUAGCUGCUGUUCUUGGCGUCUGAUUGGAUACAGCCUGGGUUCUGCGUGGGACAGCGGCGCUGCGGCGAGGGGUCUCGGAAAGAGAACGGAACAAAACAUGGGUUAUUGUAGCGGCAGGUGCACGCUGAUCUUUAUCUGUGGCAUGCAACUGUAA
RNAcentral lists this long non-coding RNA (1020 nucleotides) under Salvator merianae (Argentine black and white tegu). RNAcentral's name for it is "lncRNA (ENSSMRG00000012002.1)". Lineage: Eukaryota; Metazoa; Chordata; Lepidosauria; Squamata; Teiidae. The record is from RNAcentral.